UAAACAGCUAGCUCAACCAUGAAAAUUGAAUUAACAACAUUAACCAACCUAACACAAAAUAACUACAUCAACCAAACCAUUCUACCACCCCAGUAUGGGCGACAGAAAAGGACUAACGAAGCCAUAGAUGAAGUACCGCAAGGGAAAACUGAAAGAGAGAUGAAAUAGCGCACUAAAGUAAAUAAAAGCAGAGACCCACCCUCGU
RNAcentral lists this ribosomal RNA (205 nucleotides) under Gudusia chapra (Indian river shad). RNAcentral describes it as "partial 16S ribosomal RNA". Lineage: Eukaryota; Metazoa; Chordata; Actinopteri; Clupeiformes; Clupeidae. The record is from RNAcentral.